RNAcentral lists this ribosomal RNA (775 nucleotides) under uncultured Neocallimastigales. RNAcentral describes it as "partial large subunit ribosomal RNA". It matches the Rfam family "Eukaryotic large subunit ribosomal RNA", at positions 26 to 618 of the family's 3401-position model. The record is from RNAcentral. Lineage: Eukaryota; Fungi; Neocallimastigomycota; Neocallimastigomycetes; Neocallimastigales.
CGUCUAUAUACGUAUAGCAUAUCAAUAAGCGGAGGAAAAGAAACUAACAAGGAUUCCCUUAGUAACGGCGAGUGAAGCGGGAAGAGCUCAAAUUUGAAAUCUUCAAGGUUCUACCUUGACGAAUUGUAGUUUAAAGAAGUGUUUUCUGUUAGAGGAGUAGCAAAAGUUCUUUGGAAUAGGACAUCAUAGAGGGUGAGAAUCCCGUAUUUGGUUAUUCUUUCUAGCUUUGUGAUACACUUUCAAAGAGUCGGAUUGUUUGGGAAUGCAGUCCAAAAUGGGUGGUAAAUUUCAUCUAAAGCUAAAUAUUGGCGAGAGACCGAUAGCGAACAAGUACCGUGAGGGAAAGAUGAAAAGAACUUUGAAAAGAGAGUUAAACAGUACGUGAAAUUGUCAAAAGGGAAGCGUUUGACACCAGUGUUGUUUUUCCGAAAAUCAAUUAAGAGGGACUUGAUUUUGUGUUGUAUUGACCUUAUCAGCUUUCUUCACUCUUUUUCGAGUCUUUCUUAAUGCACUUUUCGGUUAACAAGUCAACAUCAAUUUCUUUUGUUGUAAAAGGGUAUUUGGAAGGUGGCUUUCUUUUCGGAGAAAGUGUUUAUAGCCUUAUACCUCUACAAUCGGAGAGAUUGAGGUCUGCAGCGUAGAUCCUUCGGGGCUAGAUACACUUGUGCUAAGUUAUAGCUUUUCAUAGACAACUUGUUGACUAUGUUUAGUCAUGUAGCUUACCCGCUUGUGCUAUUUUACCUACGCUUAGGAUGUUGAGUCAUCACACAUCUCU